AUUACUUUGGCAGAAAAUAAAUGUGUUAAAUUUAGAAUUUAAUUAUAUAAUAUAAAUUAUAGGUAAUA
This 68-nucleotide transfer RNA is filed under the name Adelges cooleyi (spruce gall adelgid). RNAcentral describes it as "tRNA-Leu". The record is from RNAcentral. Lineage: Eukaryota; Metazoa; Arthropoda; Insecta; Hemiptera; Adelgidae.